UAAAGCGCGCGUAGGCGGCUUUUUAAGUCGGAUGUGAAAUCCCCGAGCUUAACUUGGGAAUUGCAUUCGAUACUGGGAAGCUAGAGUAUGGGAGAGGAUGGUAGAAUUCCAGGUGUAGCGGUGAAAUGCGUAGAGAUCUGGAGGAAUACCGAUGGCGAAGGCAGCCAUCUGGCCUAAUACUGACGCUGAGGUACGAAAGCAUGGGGAGCAAACAGGAUUAGAUACCCUGGUAGUCCAUGCCGUAAACGAUGUCUACUAGCCGUUGGGGCCUUUGAGGCUUUAGUGGCGCAGCUAACGCGAUAAGUAGACCGCCUGGGGAGUACGGUCGCAAGACUAAAACUCAAAUGAAUUGACGGGGGCCCGCACAAGCGGUGGAGCAUGUGGUUUAAUU
Molecule: ribosomal RNA, 391 nt
Filed under: uncultured bacterium
Lineage: Bacteria
Description: bacterial SSU rRNA
Rfam family: Bacterial small subunit ribosomal RNA
Source: RNAcentral